CCCGGGAGCGCCGGAGCUGGAUAAAGCAGGUCCUGGACGCGGCCCCACGUGGCUGCUGUUCUACACCUUGCUUCCCGCGCCCCGCCCGGGUCUCCCGGAGAGGUGUGUGAAGAAUUUUAACAUUCCCAAUG
RNAcentral lists this long non-coding RNA (131 nucleotides) under Ictidomys tridecemlineatus (thirteen-lined ground squirrel). Its description in RNAcentral is "lncRNA (ENSSTOG00000034720.1)". The record is from RNAcentral. Lineage: Eukaryota; Metazoa; Chordata; Mammalia; Rodentia; Sciuridae.